CCUACACAGAGGGACACAUCUGCUUUGUUAUUUAUAAUAGAAAGCUAAAUUUUAAUUUUUUAAAGGACACUGCUAAUGAUUGAGAAUCGAGUUUUUAGUUUUGCUAUUUUUUUUAAUUGGUAGAGGAUUUUUUAUAUAUUUUUUCCAUUUUGUUGGGUUGUGUCCUUAUUUAUAUAAAUACUUUAUCCGUGAGAGGCAAGGAAGAAAACUUCUUUGCUUUUAAUUAUUGUGGUUGUCAUCGUCCCUAUUUUAUUUCUGGUGUGAUUUAUCUCUUUUACCUUCUAAAUGAGAAAAUGUUUUCCUGUAUUUGUACAUUGUCAGAUUCUAUAGUUUCAUAGAUAAUUUAACCAAAUUGCUCUAUGUAUUAUUAUUCUGUGAGUAUAAAGUUCUAUUUUAAUGUCUGUAAAUACUUCAGAACUGGCUUCUUUUCUCAAACUCCACUGUGGAGUUAUUGUUUACAUCACAAAAACUGUAGAAUCUCUAUGCUCAUGUACUGUAAAUAGUGAAGUGAUCUGCUUAUAAAUAAACUUAACAAAUACACUAUGGAGAUUAAAAAGAAAAUACCACCCAC
RNAcentral lists this long non-coding RNA (571 nucleotides) under Bos taurus (domestic cattle). Its description in RNAcentral is "long non-coding RNA NONBTAT023481". The record is from RNAcentral. Lineage: Eukaryota; Metazoa; Chordata; Mammalia; Artiodactyla; Bovidae.